This 253-nucleotide ribosomal RNA is filed under the name uncultured bacterium. RNAcentral describes it as "partial 16S ribosomal RNA". It matches the Rfam family "Bacterial small subunit ribosomal RNA", at positions 524 to 776 of the family's 1533-position model. The record is from RNAcentral.
UACAGAGGGUGCAAGCGUUGCUCGGAUUUACUGGGCGUAAAGCGUACGCAGACGGCCACGCAGGUCGGGUGUGAAAGCCCCGGGCUCAACCCGGGAAUUGCAUUCGAAACCAUGUGGCUCGAGUGUGGGAGAGGGAAGUGGAAUUCCUGGUGUAGAGGUGAAAUUCGUAGAUAUCAGGAGGAACACCGGCGGCGAAGGCGGCUUCCUGGUCCACAACUGACGUUCAGGUACGAAAGCGUGGGGAGCAAACAGG